UUUUAUUUCUUUUUGUCAUCAGUUAUGAAUAAAUUUGCUGAAUUUAUUUGAGUAAACUUUUUAAGGUGGGACAUAAAAGGACAAAUAUCUCUUCAAGAACCUUAGAUUUCUUAUUUCUGAUUUUUAUUCAAUAAUUAUUUUACAAUGUCAUUUUUAAGAUUUAAUAAAAAGCAGGAGGACUUGAAAUUCAUGAAGUGGUAGAUCUUAAACAUUUUAACCAGUCUUAAUCUAAAUAUUCAAUGACAACAAAAGUGGGAACUGAUUAGAUAACCAAGGCACUUUGAGAUUUGAUACUUUUAAUUGGACUAGACAAAAAUUAUAGUUUGUACAAGCUAAAUAAGUAAAUUAAGUUAAGCAUUCCUAUCAUGUUAAUGAUUAACAAAAUUAGAUGAUUAGUUCUUAUUUAACAGGGUGAUUUGUAAAGACAGGUUUAAGUGUUAAAAUAGCUAGAGAGGUUAUUUUUUCUUUGCGUAUCAAAAUUAUAUGAAAGGGUAUUAUAUAAAAGUAUCUAAAUAAAAGCUGACAAGGUAUUUCUGCCUCUUAUUAAUAAUAUUAAAUGACAGGUGAUCUUAAGUGUAAAAACAUGAUGUUAAUGUGGCCA
Molecule: long non-coding RNA, 601 nt
Filed under: Mytilus galloprovincialis (Mediterranean mussel)
Lineage: Eukaryota; Metazoa; Mollusca; Bivalvia; Mytilida; Mytilidae
Source: RNAcentral